GACGAACGCUGGCGGCGUGCUUAACACAUGCAAGUCGAACGGAAAGACCCUGCUUUUGUGGGGUGCUCGAGUGGCGAACGGGUGAGUAACACGUGAGUAACCUGCCCUUGACUUUGGGAUAACUUCAGGAAACUGGGGCUAAUACCGGAUAGGAGCUCCUGCUGCAUGGUGGGGGUUGGAAAGUUUCGGCGGUUGGGGAUGGACUCGCGGCUUAUCAGCGUGUUGGUGGGGUAGUGGCUUACCAAGGCUUUGACGGGUAGCCGGCCUGAGAGGGUGACCGGCCACAUUGGGACUGGGAUACUGCCCAGACGCCUACGGGAGGCAGCAGUGGGGAAUAUUGCACAAUGGGCGGAAGCCUGAUGCAGCAACGCCGCGUGCGGGAUGACGGCCUUCGGGUUGUAAACCGCUUUCGCCUGUGACGAAGCGUGAGUGACGGUAAUGGGUAAAGAAGCACCGGCUAACUACGUG
RNAcentral lists this ribosomal RNA (468 nucleotides) under uncultured bacterium. RNAcentral's name for it is "partial 16S ribosomal RNA". It matches the Rfam family "Bacterial small subunit ribosomal RNA", at positions 28 to 507 of the family's 1533-position model. The record is from RNAcentral.